This 249-nucleotide small RNA is filed under the name insect gut metagenome. RNAcentral's name for it is "Erse small RNA". It matches the Rfam family "Erse small RNA". The record is from RNAcentral.
ACAGAGUUGCUGGCACCUUAUACCGGCGAUAUCGCCGCAGAGGGGAUCAGCAACGUUUUGCGCAGCGGACUCUCUUUUCUGAGCAAAGGUGUAAAACGCCAGCAGCGUUAUGUUGCCGACGUUCUCACCGAAGAGUGGCGUAUGGCCCCUGGCCCGCUUGAAAUGGCGUGGUUCGCUGAAGAGACGGCUGCGGUGGAUCGCACGAUAGAUGCACUGGCUAAACGGAUUGAAAAACUGGAGGGCAAAUGA